Molecule: ribosomal RNA, 395 nt
Filed under: uncultured bacterium
Lineage: Bacteria
Description: partial 16S ribosomal RNA
Rfam family: Bacterial small subunit ribosomal RNA
Source: RNAcentral
AUACGUAGGGUGCAAGCGUUAAUCGGAAUUACUGGGCGUAAAGCGUGCGCAGGCGGUUCGGAAAGAAGGAUGUGAAAUCCCAGGGCUCAACCUUGGAACUGCAUUCUUAACUACCGAACUAGAGUAUGUCAGAGGGGGGUAGAAUUCCGCGUGUAGCAGUGAAAUGCGUAGAUAUGCGGAGGAAUACCGAUGGCGAAGGCGGCCCCCUGGGAUAAUACUGACGCUCAUGCACGAAAGCGUGGGUAGCAAACAGGAUUAGAUACCCUGGUAGUCCACGCCCUAAACGAUGUCAACUAGCUGUUGGGCCCUUCGGGGCUUAGUAGCGUAGCUAACGCGUGAAGUUGACCGCCUGGGGAGUACGGUCGCAAGAUUAAAACUCAAAUGAAUUGACGGGG